CCAUCUAUUUUCGUCUUCGCUUUUCUUACCUAAUUAAUGUUAGUUAGCUCUAAUAUGAAUAUUUACAUACGUAGUUUCCACUAGAUCCUCGUAAUAAUUGAGAUUGAUAGAAGCCACGUCACUGUGUUCGAUUCGUUGAGGAAUCCACCGAAGGACUACCAAAACAUUCAAGAAAUGCAAAACUUGUAAUAAUUUUGGACCUUUAUCUCUAUGCAAAAGUUUGUUUCCUAAAUUUUCACGUAGCACUAUAUCAUUCAUUAUUUUAAUCCGUAGCACAUGGAAACAUUUCCUCAAGAAUCACCAAGGUCCAUUCAAAGAAAAACUUACGUUCUAAAUAGAUUUCCCG
Molecule: long non-coding RNA, 346 nt
Filed under: Setaria viridis
Lineage: Eukaryota; Viridiplantae; Streptophyta; Magnoliopsida; Poales; Poaceae
Description: long non-coding RNA (SVIR_LNC007703)
Source: RNAcentral